This 253-nucleotide ribosomal RNA is filed under the name uncultured bacterium. RNAcentral's name for it is "partial 16S ribosomal RNA". It matches the Rfam family "Bacterial small subunit ribosomal RNA", at positions 524 to 776 of the family's 1533-position model. The record is from RNAcentral.
UACGUAGGGUGCAAGCGUUGUCCGGAAUUAUUGGGCGUAAAGAGCUUGUAGGCGGUUUGUCGCGUCUGCUGUGAAAUUUCGGGGCUCAACCCCGAACUUGCAGUGGGUACGGGCAGACUAGAGUGUGGUAGGGGAGACUGGAAUUCCUGGUGUAGCGGUGAAAUGCGCAGAUAUCAGGAGGAACACCGGUGGCGAAGGCGGGUCUCUGGGCCGAUACUGACGCUGAGGAGCGAAAGCGUGGGGAGCAAACAGG